Molecule: long non-coding RNA, 6473 nt
Filed under: Populus trichocarpa (black cottonwood)
Lineage: Eukaryota; Viridiplantae; Streptophyta; Magnoliopsida; Malpighiales; Salicaceae
Description: long non-coding RNA (PTRI_LNC002964)
Source: RNAcentral
GUAUAUCCUCCACCACCUCCAGCAUCUGGUUCAUAUUAUCCACCAAAGCAGGAGGUGUAUCCUCCUCCUCCUCCACCACAGUUUUAUCCACCACCACUAGUGCAAGGGUACUAUGAAGCCGGUCCUUAUGUUGCACCACCUCCAGUUAGUUACCCUAUGAGAUAUGGUCCUCAACACCACCAACAGCCACCUCCUCCUCCAGAAAAAACUAAGCAGAGGGGUGAUGAAUUUUGCACAGGAUGGUAACUGAGCAUUUUUUUUUUCCUUUUUAUUUAAAUAAUGAUUCACUGUGUACCUAUUUAUUUAUUUAUCUUUUUCCUAUGGGACACAGUUGCGCUGCCUUAUGUUGCUGCUGCCUCUUGGACAUGUGCUUUUAAGGACUCUGAAUGAUUCUUUGUAAAAUUUGCAGCUUAUAAUUGCUUCCCUUGUGUUUCUGUUUGCAAAUCAUAAUUAUUUUUGCUCUUUUUAUGUCACUGUACGUACUAUGUAUUCUUUAUUCACUCAAUAGCCUUCCUCUUCGAUUAAUAGGCAGGUAAUCUUCGGGUAUGGAGAAUUAAUUGUUUUUUAAAAUAUUUUUUAUUUAUAAAUAUAUUAAAAUAAUAUAUUUUUAAUUUUUUUUUAAUAUCAAUACAUCAAACAAAAUCUGAAAAUAUAUAAAAAAAAUUAAAUGUUUUUUUAUUUAUUUUAACCAACCCUUAACCCGUAAUUCUAAUCAGUGGCGAAAUCUUAAAAAGGAUCUCAGUACAUUAAUCAAAUUGCUGAUAGAUGGGCUAUAUAUAUAGACUAGUUUGUGUUUCAAAAGUUGAGGAGCUUGGUAACGGGACAGGCUCCACGGCGUAACCUACGCGAGUGGGAAGGGAGACUGUAGACUUCAGAAUAGAAAAGAAAAGGCUAAAGAAUUGAUGCAAUGAAACAUAACUAAUCAUUGUAUAUACUCUUAUAGGUUGUUUUACAUUACAUUUGUACUUGUGUUUUUUAAUGUAUUUUAAAGGUGAGUUUGGUAUAAAAAAAGACAUCGAAUUAAUUUUUAAAAUUUUUUAUGAUAGUUUUAAUGUAAUGAUGUUACUAAUAAGAAAAUUUUUUUAAAAAAAUUAAUAUAUUUUUUAAAAAAUACAUAUCAAACACAUUUGAUCUUCCGACAAAAGAUGAACUCAAAUGAUUUGUUAAUUCAAGUGCUGAUUAAUAGAAAGCAAGGUGAUUCAAGUGAUGAUUAAUAGAUGAACUCAUCUAAUAUAAAAAUAAUUCUAAGUGAUGUUUUUUAAAAUUUUAACCGCUCUCUAUUUAGCAUGCAAUCCUAAUCAGUGGCGAAAUCUUAAAAAGGAUCUCAGUACAUUAAUCAAAUUGCUGAUAGAAGGGCUAUAGACUAGUUUGUGUUUUGAACGUUGAGCAGCUUGGUAAUGGGACAGACAGGCUCCAUGGCGUAACCUGCACGAGUGGGAAUGGAGACUGUAGACUUUAGAAAAACAUAUAUUUAAAUAACAUAUAUUUUUAAUAUUUUUUUAUGGUUUUAAUAUGCUAAUAUCAAUAAUUAAAAAAUUAAAAAAUAUAUUUUAAUAUAUUAAAAAAAAAUAUUUUGAAAAACAUAUUUUACUAUAAUACCAAACACACAUUUAAUCAUUUUUCCCUUUUUAUUUAAAUAAUGAUUAACUGUAAAAUUUGCAGCUUAUAAUUGUUUCCCUUGUGUUUCUUGUUGGAAAUAAUAAUUAUUUUCGUUCUUUUUAUAUCACUGUACGUACUACGUUUAACAUUUGUCUAAUUCCUUCAGCCUUUAUUAUAGGAAAGAUGUUAACCAUGUUAGAAAAUCUUGCUUCCACUGAGUCUAUCUUAGAAACAGAAUUUGGAAGAAAAAUUGAUUAAAAAUUCAGUUUCUACAGAUUCAAAGUUCAUCGAGUUACCUACCGAAAUCAAUCUAGCGCCUGUCCAUAUCCGCUUAAGUGAUGGUAAGGGAAGCAUUAAGCGGCCGACACCAUAGAUAGCCACUGCAAAGAAAUGGAGAACCAAGUUCAUUGGCCGAUGGUCUAGACCAGAGAGUAGAGCUAUGGGUCCAUUCGAAAAAACUCCACCAAGGCUUAAAUAGUCAAAGCAAGGGUCAAAAUACGUGAAGAAAUAAGAUAGACUAAAAAUUGGAUUAAUAAAGAUAAAAACCGAGCCUUUUGGUUGUACUUUAAAUUGACUUAAUCUUAAUUAUUGUUCUCUGCAAAUAGGAAAUCAUAUGUACAGAAGCAGAUAAUGGAAUCAAUAACCUUCGGUCUGCGUGUAUUUUCCUAUAAUAUCAAAAGUGAAAAAAAUUAUUCUUUGAAUUCGUCAAGAAUAUAUGAAGUAUGUUUAUAGAAAAGGAUGCCGAUAAUGUUGAAAUAGGAGAAGAUUUCCUUUUGAUAUAUUUAGAUUCAAGUAAAAAUAUUCCUAGUUUAAAAAGAUUUGUAUUUAGGAUUUUUAUUAAAUUAAUAUUUAAAAUCCUUAUUUGAAAAAAGAUAGUUUAAAUUUAUCUUGAUUCUAUAAACUUCUUUUAAAUAUAAGGGUGAUAUGUGUUAAUUAUCAGUGAAUAAAGGCUUAGUAUUAAUUAAAGUUUCUUGGAAUAAAUCAAGUCUUGUUUUCAAAACAUGACAGCUACCAAUCUCACGGUAAGAUUUUAGGAGCGUAUCCACCGCCACCGAGCCAGCUGGGGCGCGAUGUCCUCCUCCUUCGCAAGCUUAUGCACUACCCGUCCAAGCUGGUCCGUAUGUUGCUCCACAUCCAGUUGAUUACCCUCCGACAAAUGGUGCUGAACACACCAAAAUAUCACCCCCUCCUGAAAAAGAAGAAGCAUAAAUGGUAACUGAGCAUUUCAAAACUCUCUCUGUGUAAAUUCCAUUGCAAAUAAUAAUUCAUCGUUAUAUAUAUAUAUAUAUAGAAAAAGAAUCAGCUUGCAUGCCUGGAGGUUGAUGGACAGAUCCUAUCUAAACCAAUCGAUGUGAAGCUAGCUAUCUUUAACUUUUUUCGCAACCUAUACUCCCACCAGAACAGACCUAGAGCUUCAUGUUCAAACCUGGAAUUCUCAAGGCUGAAGCCUUCAUCCUCGGCUGCUCUUGAAUUGCCAUUUUCUGCAGAAGAGAUUAAAACAGCUGUGUGGGAUUGUGAUGGAAAUAAAGCUCCAGGUCCUGAUGGUAUUAACUUCCUUUUCAUCAAGAAAGCGUGGAACAUUAUAGGUGAGGAUAUUAUCCAGAUGGUUGAUGACUUCUAUCGGACUAAUCUCCUUCCUGCUGGUAUCAAUAGCACCUUUGUUACUCUUAUUCCGAAGAUUAAAGGUGCAAACAAGCUAUCAGAUUUCAGACCUAUUAGUUUGGUUGGCAGCCUAUACAAGAUCAUCUCAAAGAUUCUAGCAACCAGGUUGAAACAUGUUAUGCCAGAGGUCAUCUCUCAUCAUCAAAAUGCUUUCCUCAAAGGGAGGCAAAUUUUAGACAGCGUCUUGAUUGCAAAUGAGGUCCUUUUUUUCAUUAAGAAGAAAAAGGGUAAAGCUUAUCUCUUCAAAUUAGAUUUUCAUAAAGCCUUUGAUUCGGUGUUAUGGGAAUAUAUUAAUGAAAUCAUGGCUAGUAUGGGCUUUGGCAAUAGAUGGCGAGGGUGGAUUAUGCAAUGCAUAUCAACGGCAAAAAUGUCUGUGCUUGUUAAUGGGUCUCCCACGGAGGAAUUCUGCUUAGCUAAAGGCCUACGCCAAGGAGACCCUCUCUCUCCGUUUCUCUUCAACAUUGCAGUCCAGGGAUUGAGUUAUAUGUUGCAGCGUGGCUGUGAUUUGGGUUUGACUUCAGGUAUCAACAUCGGCAAUGCAGGGCUUGUCAUAUCUCACUUACAGUUUGCGGACGACACCCUUAUAUUCAGUUCAGACUCUUUACAUAGCAUGCAGAACAUUAAAUGUAUCCUAUUAUGCUUUGAACUUGUCUCGGGGUUGAAGGUCAAUUUUUAUAAAAGUAGCAUUGUCGGUGUGGGUGUAGCAGCUCAUACAUGUAACUUCACGGCUCAGCUUCUCAGAUGCAAGCAGGAUCAGCUGCCUCUCAUGUAUCUUGGACUCCCCAUCGGUGGAAACCUGGUCAGAGCUACAAUGUGGAAUCCUAUUUUACGCAAUAUCAGUUUCCGGUUGGCUUCGUGGAAAUGCAGGUUCUUAUCUAUUGGGGGCCGUUUGUGCUUGAUUAAAUCUGUGCUCCGCAACCUCCCCAUCUACUACCUAUCUAUGUUCCCUAUGCCUGCUUCGGUUGCCUCCAUAAUUGAUCACAAACUUCGAUCCUUCCUCUGGUCUGGAAAUGAGGAAAGACACAAAAUUUGCAAUGUCAGCUGGGCCACUGUUACUCUUCCAAAACAAGCGGGUGGUCUUGGGAUUGGUCCCUUAAGGGACAAAAACACAGCUCUGCUCUUUAAAUGGUUAUGGAGGUUUGGGUCGGAGGAAUCAAGUUUGUGGACGGAUGUGAUCAAAAGCAUCCACAUCUCCAAUUGCUCUAAUCUGCUGCUGCAAGCUCCUAUUCCAUGAGCUGCAACUACAUGGUCCCGGAUUGUCAAUCAUUGUGUGAGAAAUAAUAAGCUGCAGGAUAUUGUGAAAGAGCAAUCUCUGGUUCUUAUCGGAAAUGGCAAGAAGACUAAAUUUUGGCUUGACUGCUGGCUUAAUAACCACUGUUUAGCAGAGCACUUCCCUACUCUUUUCCAAUUAUCCAAUGACAAAGCUGCCAGCAUUGCUAAAAUGGGAAUGUGGGAAGGGUAUGAGUGGAUUUGGGUUUUUUCCUGGAUACGUCCGCUACGGGGGUGCAGCAUUGGCUUGCUCGAUCAGCUUUAUGCAAUCCUAUCGACUGUACUCAUGGACAAAGAUGAAGAGGAUAGACUAAUAUGGAAGGACAAUAAUUCAGGAAGAUUUUCAGUUAAAUCUCUCUGUGGAUUGUUAAGCCCAAAGCCUUCCACAAACAAUGCCUUCUCGUUUGCUGGAAUUUGGAAAGGUAUUGUCCCUCCUAAGGUAGAGAUCUUUUGCUGGAUGGCUAUCAUUAACAGAAUCAACACCUGAUGCAUGUUGGUUCGAAGAGGUAUAUUGAGUAGCUCAGAAUCAAAUUGCCCUAUCUGCCUAGUGGAGGCAGAAUCGGUGGACCAUAUCCUGCUUCAAUGCCAUAAGCAUUGGCUCAUUUGGUCCAAAAUCAUUAAGUGGUGGGGUUUAGUUUGGUGUUGCCCAAAGAGCUUCUCAGAUUUGUGGUCUCAAUGGACUUCCAUGGUGCAUGGUCAUUUUCAGAGGAAAGCGUGGCUGAUGUUGUUCUUCUCAGUGGCAUGGUCUCUUUGGCUACUUCGAAAUGAUCUGAUCUUCCAACAGAAGACACCUGACUAUGAUUCAAUAUUCUUUCUUAUUAUCACCCGUCUAUGUCUAUGGCUAAAAGCUAUCCAUUCUGAUUUCCCAUACUCCCCUUCAGAUCUGAUUAGAUCGGCAGAUGGCUUACUUCGGUGGUCCAAUGCCCACUCCUUCAGGAUUCAUAAUAUGUGGUCUCCUCCUAUGAUUAAUAGCCUCAAAUGGAACGUGGAUGGCUCGUCUCUUGGUAAGCCAGUCCCUUCUGGAAUAGGUGGUGUACUGCGAAAUCAUCAUGGACAUCUUCUCGGUAUGUUCUCUGUUCCAGUUGGUAUUUUAGACUCUAAUAUUGCUGAGUUAAGGGCUAUUGUCAAAGCCAUUGAACUUUCAGCAUCUAAUUGUCUCUUCCACCAUCAACACCUUAUCAUAGAAUCUGACUCAGUCAAUGCUUUUUUCGUUUACCAAACAAGUUUUUCAGAGGUGAUAUCGUAUCUUGAUUUCAACAAUGAGUUACUACAACAACCAGUAUCAAGCUUCAGCAGGUAAUUGAAUUUAUGUUCGGCUUGUGAAAAUCUUUUCUUUUCUUUUCUUUUUUUCUUUUUUUAAUGUGAUUUAGGAAGUUAAUCAAAAUGGGUUACUAAAUUGAUGAUUUUUCAGGAGUAUAUCCUCCACCACCUCCAGCAUCUGGUUCAUAUUAUCCACCAAAGCAGGAGGUGUAUCCUCCUCCUCCUCCACCACAGUUUUAUCCACCACCACUAGUGCAAGGGUACUAUGAAUUGCCGGUCCUUAUGUUGCACCACCUCCAGUUAGUUACCCUAUGAGAUAUGGUCCUCAACACCACCAACAGCCACCUCCUCCUCCAGAAAAAACUAAGCAGAGGGGUGAUGAAUUUUGCACAGGAUGGUAACUGAGCAUUUUUUUUUCCUUUUCAUUUAAAUAAUGAUUCACUUUGUACCUAUUUAUUUAUUUAUCUUUUUCCUAUGGGACACGGUUGCGCUGCCUUAUGGUGCUGCUGCCUCUUGGACAUGUGCUUUUAAGGACGAUGAAUGAUUCUUUGUAAAAUUUGCAGCUUAUAAUUGCUUCCCUUGUGUUUCUUGUUGCAAAUCAUAAUUAUUUUUGCUCUUUUUAUGUCACUGUGCUAUGUAACCUUCCUCUUUGAUUAAUAGGCAGGUAAUAUUCGGGUAUGGAG